CGGGGGGGGCUAGCGUUGUUCGGAAUUACUGGGCGUAAAGGGCUCGUAGGUGGCCAACUAAGUCAUGCGUGAAAUCCCUCGGCUUAACGGGGGAACUGCGUCUGAUACUGGAUGGCUUGAAUCCGGGAGAGGGAUGCGGAAUUCCAGGUGUAGCGGUGAAAUGCGUAGAUAUCUGGAGGAACACCGGUGGCGAAGGCGGCAUCCUGGACCGGCAUUGACACUGAGGAGCGAAAGCCAGGGGAGCAAACGGGAUUAGAUACCCCGGUAGUCCUGGCCCUAAACGAUGACUGCUUGGUGUGACGGGUAUCGAUCCCUGUCGUGCCGAAGCUAACGCAUUAAGCAUUCCGCCUGGGGAUACGGUCGCAAGGCUG
This 371-nucleotide ribosomal RNA is filed under the name uncultured organism. RNAcentral's name for it is "bacterial SSU rRNA". It matches the Rfam family "Bacterial small subunit ribosomal RNA", at positions 526 to 896 of the family's 1533-position model. The record is from RNAcentral.